Molecule: ribosomal RNA, 41 nt
Filed under: Alternaria sp.
Lineage: Eukaryota; Fungi; Ascomycota; Dothideomycetes; Pleosporales; Pleosporaceae
Also listed under: 2 other names
Description: partial 28S ribosomal RNA
Source: RNAcentral
UUUUGACCUCGGAUCAGGUAGGGAUACCCGCUGAACUUAAG